RNAcentral lists this ribosomal RNA (396 nucleotides) under Triticum aestivum (bread wheat). RNAcentral's name for it is "partial small subunit ribosomal RNA". Lineage: Eukaryota; Viridiplantae; Streptophyta; Magnoliopsida; Poales; Poaceae. The record is from RNAcentral.
AUGGUGCCCGGCGGUGGUGGCGCUAGAUGGGUCAACGCGGGGGCGGCGCGAAGUUGCACUGGUGGGCGCGCGGUGGCGGCUCGGGCCGGCCAGAUCUGGCUCGUUGGGGCCGCAACGCUGAGCGGCCCGGUCUGGGCACUCUGUGUCCGGACGCUGGGUUCUCGGAUGGUGCAGCGGCGUCACCAUUCAUGCUCCGACCAAGAUGGAAGGAGCGGCAGGCUCCAGAUCCGGUGGUGGGUGCGCCCGGGGCGAGGUCCCUGGCGUAGGUGCGCAUUUCUCCGGACGAAAGUCUGGCUUUUAGCCGGUGAUGGCAACACCUGUGGAUGUUGCUUCCUUGUUGAAGGCAUCACCGAGGAGUUUUCGCAUCUACCCUGCUCGAGUUCGGUCUUCGGGUGA